RNAcentral lists this signal recognition particle RNA (98 nucleotides) under Devosia sp. Its description in RNAcentral is "signal recognition particle sRNA small type". It matches the Rfam family "Bacterial small signal recognition particle RNA". Rfam says of the family: The signal recognition particle (SRP) is a universally conserved ribonucleoprotein involved in the co-translational targeting of proteins to membranes. Lineage: Bacteria; Pseudomonadati; Pseudomonadota; Alphaproteobacteria; Hyphomicrobiales; Devosiaceae. RNAcentral also lists the same sequence under 1 other name. The record is from RNAcentral.
GGAGGUUGGCAGUGGACGUCGCCACUCGCCAACCUGGUCAGGUCCGGAAGGAAGCAGCCACAACGGGUUCGGCACGGGUCGCGUGUCCAGCCUCCCAC